GAUCGCGCCCUCCCUCCCAGAUCCCUCCCUCUCUCGCGCACCUCCCUCUCCCUUCUACAACUGCCGCAUCCCCCCAACGCAUCGCCCCACAAAUCACGCCGCCGUCGCCACCCCUUCCUUUCCAAUAGCAUUCCCUUUGCCUCGCCAUCCUGCUGCUCGUGCCCCUCCGCCCAUCACACUGAUCCGCACCGGAGUCGCAGUCGCCACCCCCGAGCCUCUGCCCAUCGCAUCGAUCCCCGCCGUCCCUCCACCCAUUGCACCUAUCCGUGCCGCCACCGAUGACGAUCUCGUCCGCACCGCCCCUCCGCCCAUCGCACCGAUCCGCGCUGCCAGGCCAGUUUGCCCUCGCCGCCCCCGAUGUACGCCAGGGCGCCCGCCUCCACGCCCCCAUAUCACCGUCGGCCGGAGUCGCCGGGCUCGUCCUCACCAAGCCGAUCCCCUCCGCCACCGAUAGAAGGUACAAAAAUCCUCCUCCCCUACCAGAUGAUUUGUCUUGCUUUGUAUUAAUGGGUGCAUGGACUGGUGGUGGUGCGGCUGUCAGGCUCUUCUAUUAUGUUGCUUGCAAAUCAGCUAUUAAGUUUGAAGAUGUACACAUUUUGUGAUUAGUCUCUUGUGAUUAAGAGAAAAUUAUGGUGAUUUGCCACUGACACUUUAACAGAAAAUUAUGGAGGGGAUUCUUUUGCAGUACCAGUGACAUGAGAAACUUCAGUUGGUUCAUGAGAUGGAGCUGCCUGACUCCCUUCUGCUGGGCUGGUUUUGACCCUGAACCUGUUGUUUCUCUGAAAAAUGUGUCAUUUUAUUUUUAGAAUGAGGGGUUGCCAUAUUUGCUUGUUAUGCCGAUGUGGACAAGCUUGUCCUGUUUUAUGCACAGGAAUUAUUGGUUUAUAUACUAAGAGCAAAAUUAAAAUAUUUUCUACAAUUAUAUAUACAUAGAGAGGCUCGAUUUAUGGGCACAAACGUCCUAAUAGGUCAAUUUAAUCUCUUUUUGGGUUAAGCAAGAACUUUGUAUUGAUGGGUGCAUGGACUGGUGGUGGUGCAGCCGUCAGCUCGCUCUGAACUCUGAGGUGGUUUGUUUUUUUUUCUCAGGCGCUUGCAACACUACAUCAUUUCCAGAACGCCUUCACCAAAAUUCACUGCAUGCAAUCAGGCGCAAGGGUUGUGUUAGUGAUAUGCCCUAGGGGCAAUCAUAGAGAUGAUUGUAUUACAUACUAUGUUUACAUAUUUAUCCAACUUUGUUCCUUGAAAUAGAUAACUCAUUAUUAGUUAAUGAAUAUGUGAUUCUUUCAUGAGACUCUUUAUGUUGUUUGUUACUAUUUCUAAAAGAUCCCUGAUCAAACAUCAUAUAUGGAACAAAUAUGGUUAAAUGAUCAGCACAUAUAUUAAUUGAUGAUCAUGUCUCAUAGAUCAUAGUAUCUUUACUACUUAAAAAAUACGUGGUGGUGUUGGUGAGUCCUGUAUAAUCCAAGGGCCGAUAUUCCUCGCAGGAUCCUCCCACAGAUCGAAGGGAUCAAAUAACCUCCUGCUGUCCCGCACCACCCCCACCUCCGUAUCGCACUGUCCUCACACUGCCCCCUCCAUCGCACGCCCCCGUCACUCCUCCUUCGUACCGCCUUCGCCGCUUUCCCAGCGCCGCCGUCGCGCCCUCGGCGGCUCCUCCGCCGCGCUGCCGCCACAUCAGUCGCGACCCCGGCAGCUCCUCCGCCGCACUGCCGCCACCUCGGUCGUGAACCCCGGCGCCUCAUCCGCCGCGCUGCUGCCACCUCCGUCGUGAACCCCGGCGCCUACUCCAUUGCCUCAUAGCCCCUCUCCUCCUCCAACCCUACGGCUUUCUCCUCCGUCCGGUGCACCGCCUCUUCCAUCCCCAUAUCCUAUUCCUACUUCAUCUCUCCCUACCGCUGUCACUGCUCAAACCCUAAGAUCCGAAGGGAGGGAAGAGAACCUAAGAUCGGAAGGGGAGGGAAGAGAAGAGCGCAUAGGCGGUGGCAACGGCAACCUCAGCAGGCAUGCUGUCGACUUCCAUCAUCCCUGUCAUCCUCCAGGAUCCAAACAUAUGUUGAUGAAACCGGCAUCACAGGCCAAGCCCAAGGCAACAGUGGGGUUUGAACUUCGAAGACGAUUUAAUCCCUGUCUUUGGUGAAAACACAAAUCAUCAUGAUUCACCAUGGUAUUAGGAGACGAACAACUACAGGGGAAUAUCUCAUGCUUUUAUGGAACCAGCUAAUGUGAGAGUAUCAAGGGGAGUCUUGGCCGAAUCCGUUGCUCAUGGCUGGUAGGAGUGAGGAGUACAUAGGAUUCCACACUACGAGGUGCCUCCGAAACUCCGUCCGCUUGAGAACCUGCACGGGUAGGCGGGCGAUCAAGUUUUUGAGUAGCGCUUCAAGCGCGACUACUCUGCAUCAUCUUCACCAACAUGUCGACAACCGGCGACAACAACAACACUAGAGACAAGGAGGAGCCUCCCGUCAACACCAACGGAGGCAAUACUGUCUCAAACUCCAGCGGAGGGCCAUUUUCGGGGUCUUUUUCGGUAGUUGGCUUUGCUGCAUCACUAAAACCACAUGCUUUCGAUGGUUCAAAUUAUAAAAGAUGGAAAGCACGUGCACUUUUGUGGUUGACGGCGAUGCAAUGUUUCUUUGCUUCACGAGGCAAACCGAGUGAACCGCCUCUCUCCCUGAGGAGGAGGCUAAGUUCGAGGCUGCGGAUUGCUUGUUCCGUGGAGCAUUGAUCAGUGUGCACGCCGACAGUAUUGUGGACGUUUAUAUGCACAUGCCUUCAGGGAAGGACAUGUGGGAUUCUCUUGAGGCCAAGUUCGGGGUUUCCGACGCCGACAGCGAGCUGUAUGUCAUGGAGCAGUUCUAUGACUACAACAUGGUCGAUGACCGUUCUGUAGUGGAACAUGCUCAUGAAAUUCAGAUGCUGGCAAAGGAACUUGAGAACAACAACUGCGAGUUGCCGGACAAGUUUGUGGCGGGUGGCAUUAUUGCCAAAUUGCCACCUUCUUGGUCAGACUUUGGUACUUCUCUAAAACACAAGAGGCAAGAGUUCAGCGUUACUGAUCUCAUUGGCUCUUUGGGUGUUGAG
Oryza sativa Japonica Group (Japanese rice) is the source of this 3081-nucleotide non-coding RNA. Lineage: Eukaryota; Viridiplantae; Streptophyta; Magnoliopsida; Poales; Poaceae. The record is from RefSeq and is a predicted model, not a curated record.